AUAUCAUUAGCGGGAGGAAAGGAAAUCAACAGAGAUUCCAGGAGUAACGGCGAGCGAAACUGGAGAAGCCCACGCUGAAGCUUGUCGGAUUGAAUUCCGGCACGCAUUGUAGCGAAUCCACCUUGUCCUCCAAUGGCGACGAUCCACGAAGUGACCUGGAACGGUCUACCAUCGAGGGUAACAGUCCCGUAGUUGGUUGUCGCUUGCGGCUUGGCGGGAAUGGUAGAGUCGUGCUGUUUGGGAGUACAGCACUAAUCCGGUGGUGUGUUCCAUCGAAGGCUAAAUAUUUGUCGCGAGACCGAUAGCGCACAAGUA
RNAcentral lists this ribosomal RNA (315 nucleotides) under uncultured eukaryote. Its description in RNAcentral is "partial large subunit ribosomal RNA". It matches the Rfam family "Eukaryotic large subunit ribosomal RNA", at positions 40 to 350 of the family's 3401-position model. The record is from RNAcentral.